This 549-nucleotide ribosomal RNA is filed under the name uncultured bacterium. Its description in RNAcentral is "bacterial SSU rRNA". It matches the Rfam family "Archaeal small subunit ribosomal RNA", at positions 728 to 1276 of the family's 1478-position model. The record is from RNAcentral.
AAUAGAUACCCGGGUAGUCCUAGCCGUAAACGAUACUCGCUAGGUGUCGGCCACGGUGCGACCGUUGUCGGUGCCGUAGGGAAGCCGUGAAGCGAGCCACCUGGGAAGUACGGCCGCAAGGCUGAAACUUAAAGGAAUUGGCGGGGGAGCACCACAACGGGUGGAGCUUGCGGUUUAAUUGGAUUCAACGCCGGAAAUCUUACCGGGACCGACAACAAUAUGAAGGCCAGGCUGAAGACUUUGCCGGAUUAGCUGAGAGGUGGUGCAUGGCCGUCGUCAGUUCGUACUGUGAAGCAUCCUGUUAAGUCAGGCAACGAGCGAGACCCACGCCCACAGUUGCCAGCGUACUCUCUGGAGUGACGGGUACACUGUGGGGACCGCCGCUGCUAAAGCGGAGGAAGGAAUGGGCAACGGUAGGUCAGUAUGCCCCGAAUAUCCCGGGCUACACGCGAGCUACAAUGGUUGGUACAAUGGGUAUCUACCCCGAAAGGGGACGGGAAUCUCCUAAAACCAAUCUUAGUUCGGAUUGAGGGCUGCAACUCGCCCUCA